AAAACAUUUUUCCCCCUUAGUAUAGGCGAUAGAAAAGGACCUAAGAGCUACAGUGAUAGUACCGCAAGGGAACGCUGAAAGAGAGAUGAAACAGCACCAUAAAGUAUAAAGAAGCAGAGAUUAAACCUUGUACCUUUUGCAUCAUGAAUUAGCCAGUAUAAACGAGCAAGGAGCACCAUAGCUCGUAUACCCGAAACUAAGUGAGCUACUCCAAGACAGCCUAUUUAGGGCGAACCCGUCUCUGUGGCAAAAGAGUGGGAAGAUCUUCGAGUAGAAGUGACAGACUUACCGAACUUAGUUAUAGCUGGUUGCCUGGGAAAUGGAUAUAAGUUCAGCCCCCCAAGGUCUUCACUCGUUAGCUAUAGUGCCAAUGUGACAAAAAGAUCCGGGGGGAGUUAGUCAAAGGGGGUACAGCCCCUUUGAAAAAAGACACAACUUUUUUAGGUGGAUAAAGACAAGAUAUAAGGAACAGUGCCCCCGUGGGCCCAAAAGCAGCCACCCCUUCAGAAAGCGUUAAAGCUCAAGCACAACAACACCCAUAUAUUCCAACAAACCUCUCCAAAGCCCCAAUGUAAUACCAGGCUGAUCUACUUAACUAGUAGAAGAAAAAAUGCUAAUAUGAGUAAUAAGAAAACCACGAAUUUCUCCUGGCACUUGCGUAAAUCAGAACGGACAACCCACCGAAAAUUAACGGACCCAAAAAAAGAGGGAAGUGACAAGACCAGGCUGGAAAAGCAUUCAACCCCCGCCCGUUAGCCCCACACCGGAGUGCCCCAAGGAAAGACUAAAAGAAAGAGAAGGAACUCGGCAAACCAAGUAAGCCUCGACUGUUUACCAAAAACAUCGCCUCUUGCAAACCCACGUAGAAUAAGAGGUCCAGCCUGCCCAGUGACAAUAUGUUCAACGGCCGCGGUAUUUUGACUGUGCUAAGGUAGCGCAAUCACUUGUCUUUUAAAUGAAGACCUGUAUGAAAGGUAUCACGAGGGCUUAACUGUCUCCUCUUUCCAGUCAAUGAAAUUGAUCUCCCCGUGCAGAAGCGGGGAUAGCACCAUAAGACGAGAAGACCCUGUGGAGCUUAAGACACCAGGACGGACCAUGUCCAAAACCCCUCACCCGGGGCAGAACCAAAUGGCCCCCGCCCCAAUGUCUUCGGUUGGGGCGACCAUGGAGAAAACACAACCCCCAUGUGGACAGGGAGCACCAGAGGAUAACCACCCACAACCAUACAACCAAACUCCUAAAAACCAGAGCUCCGGCUCCAGUUAAACGAAACAUUCGACCCAGACUGAUCCGGUGUUAACCGAUCAACGGACCAAGUUACCCCAGGGAUAACAGCGCUAU
Molecule: ribosomal RNA, 1341 nt
Filed under: Arnoglossus tenuis (dwarf lefteye flounder)
Lineage: Eukaryota; Metazoa; Chordata; Actinopteri; Pleuronectiformes; Bothidae
Description: 16S ribosomal RNA
Rfam family: Bacterial large subunit ribosomal RNA
Source: RNAcentral